UACAAGGGCAAAAACCAUCUGGCAACACUGGUCGAGAUUGUGCUUUGUCUCGGAGUUCUUGGUUUCGUCGUUUUUAUUCUGGUGUACACGAGGUUGUUUUGUCGACGAUAUAACACAUUCACGCUGAUUCUGGACUAUAAGCACGUACAAGUUCAAAGGAAAAGAUUAAGGUUGAACGUCCUGUCAUGCAUUAUAGAGCAAAUUCUGAACCAUUAAUCAUUUCUACAGGUGAUUUGGAACCUUCAAUCUUCACUGAGUGCAAAGAAAAAAUGAGGCCGGUGAAAUGUAAUUUAAAACAAUUGGAUAAUCCAGAUGAAAGUCUUACCAAAGAAGAACAAGUUCGCUACACCCAGCAAUGUCUUUUAAAAAUAGGUAGCCAUAUAAAUGAUUGUUUACGUGAAUACACUGAUCCAGAAAAGGUCAAAGAAUGGAGAAGGUAAAUAUUUUUGUUAAGGAAAACUUUUAUUUACAAUUUUAAUAUUCAUAAAAUUGUUUAGCUUGAACUAUUAACUAUCAAGUGAUAGAAACGUAUUCAGCCAAUUACAGAAAUGAGCUUUAAGUCAUAAUGUCUUGAUUUUUAUUGAAUUUAACUUAAAAUUAGAUGUUUCACUCAUUUUGAAUAUUUGUGAUGAAUUAAAUCAAUGAGAACCAAAAAAUAAUAACAGGAUAAGAA
Molecule: long non-coding RNA, 673 nt
Organism: Centruroides sculpturatus (bark scorpion)
Lineage: Eukaryota; Metazoa; Arthropoda; Arachnida; Scorpiones; Buthidae
Exons: 3
Source: RefSeq, a predicted model, not a curated record